Long non-coding RNA from Gasterosteus aculeatus aculeatus (three-spined stickleback), 14717 nucleotides. The record is from Ensembl. Lineage: Eukaryota; Metazoa; Chordata; Actinopteri; Perciformes; Gasterosteidae.
GUUCCCGCCUCAUCGAGGCCUGUUCGGUGUUCGGGGAAACGCACCAAUUGACUUUCUUCCCCGGAUUUAGAUGAGGGGACUGAUAACAACCCUCCGACUGAGAUUGCUAUUGAUCUCCUCGUCUGACUCUGGCCGAGAAAGCCAAUUAGAGUGUUUCCCAUAGUAAACUGUUUCUUCAGGGUGGGGGGAGGAGGGGGGGGGCAUUCGGGACCGAGAGGCCGAUAGCAUUCAGAUACAUCCAGUCACAACCCGUGGCACCACGUGGGGAUCUUAGAUGGUGAUUGAGGAACUCCAACUCCUCUCCCAUCUAAAUGAACAACGUCAGUAUAUAUGAGGAUCAAUCGAUUUCAGACGGUUCGGGAUGGUUUUUUAUAAACUGCCAGCCGUUAGGCCGCACCCUGCCCCACCCUAAAGCAAACAAGGUCUCCAGCCCUCUUUCAGGUGAGAGGGAAAGUUAUUUUUCUUCGUUGUGUGCCGCUCUAUUAGUCGAGACGACAAUUGAACACAUUCUACAGUUGGGUAAACACAUUGAAAACCUUCAAAUAUUUGAACGUUUUUUAAAAGUCAUGAAAUAUUGCUGCAGAAAUUUUGUGUGGCAGUCUAAAAAAGUAGACCCAGGGAUCUUCACUUUUAAAAAAUUAAAUAAAAGAAUAAAGAUGCCUUUUGAAUAGCAACAAAGAGGUAUUUGUUGGCCCGAGUAACUAUUGGUUUGCACGUUUGAAGCGUUUCCCCUCACAGAACCGUCGGCGCGGGUCUGGCACGCCGUCCUCGUCUUGGCGGGUUUGCAUCCGCGCUCACAUUCUUUUAUAUGGGAUCCAGUAAAAAAACAAGCUUUUUUUUCCUUUAAAAAAAAACACUUUAAUUAAUGCAUGCUGCCAUGUUGAGGAAAUACAUGUAAAUAGAGAGGUGGGGGGUUGCAGUUCUGUGCCGCUAUUUACAAGGUUAUCUUUUUUUGAUAAUCAUUAACCUUUUUCUGUUUUUUAAAACAUUUUAAUGAAAUGAUAAAAUGUAUUCAUCACUUCUGGCAUCUAGAUACUUAUUUUGUCGCAUUCUUUCUCAGACUAAGUUGUGAAUGCUCAUGCAUCCUGGGUCCUUGUUUUUUUGUAACGAAACCAUGGGACACGGAGCUGUGGGACACUGCUGCUGUAAUAGGGUUGAAUCUAAAGAUGAUGUAUAAACUCCAUCGACUGCGCACAGAACCACCUCAUGCAUUUAUAUGAAAGAACAAAGCAUGUGUGUGUGCACGGAAAUCCGAUCAGUCCGUUAGAAACAUCCACUCAACUAUUGAGGCCUCGCUUCCCUGGGACCUUUUGUGGAGCAUCUAAAUGUCAUUGAGCGUCAACUAAGAUGAAUGCUUUUGUAGUCUAAAUUAUGAAGGAAUCGCAUUAGCGAUGUUCAGAUGAAAAUUUUCCGGGUUCUUUUAAGUCACUUCAAACAUCUGUUGAAGAUGGGAUUUUACAUAAUUUAACAACAAAAUCGAGUGAGAUCUCUGCUUUUCCAUCCGGGGCACAAAGCCUUUUCCGUUUGCAAAGACUGCCUUGGAUGGAUGAGGUGGAGCCAUGAAGGACGAUCCCGUCCCCACCGGUCCCGUCCUCCCCUACUGUGCACGACUUCCCCACACGUACGUCGCUCCCACCAAAAGGGGCAGGCGGCAUGAACCGUAGGGGAACGUGGGGAAUGCAGAUGUGCGGAUUAGUCCUUCGUCACGCAUUCGCACUGGUGCUAAUAAAUAGCCAGCUCAUUUCACACCACGUUCCGCUGCGACGUCGAUGGUAUCGGAAAGCAGCAUCCCCGUCUGCCACGUGGUGUGCGAGCAGAGGGUCAGUCGAUCCAUCCGCGUUAUGUCAUAUCCGAGGGAAGGGAUAAACCGGGACGUCUGUACAAACAGAUGGGAUGACAAAUAGACGAGGAAGGGAAAGUAGAAAAAUAUAGAAGUGGAGGAUAACGGCGUGGGGAAGGGAAAUGAGAAACAGUCCUUGACCAAGUGCUUCAUUCAUUGUUUUUUUUUGCUUUUGUUAAUCGCUCAGCCGUGAGGCCUUUUUUACGUCGCAAUUACCUGGAAACUUGCUGAAUUGUCUUUUUUUUAAGAGGGCCAUUCUGUCGCUGACAAUUUCCCCACUCGCGCCUGAUUGCAGAAGAGCUCUUUUGUUUUGAUGGUGGGCCAAUUGGAGGGACUGCUCAUUAAUACAACAGGUUAACGGUUUAAGUAGCGUGUGUGUGUGUGUGUGUGUGUGUGUGUGUGUGUGUGUGUGUGUGCUGGCUUUGCUAUGGAAAUGUUGGCGCUGAUGUGCCAAAUCUGCAUGCAGGGGUUUCUGGAGUUUCAACGAGGGACUUUCGGAGCUGUGGACAGAAAGUCGGACGACAUUUGAAAAAUAACUAAAUAAUUUUUUGGCCUGUCUGUCAAACAGUGCAGGUCAGGGGGGGUCGAGGUCCAUCUGGGAAAGGGCCACGCUGAGGAAUUGGAGAUCUAAUUCAUGCCUGUUUCCUCACUGGAAUCAUUUUUGGUAUAAAACAAGAGACACAUUUUAAUGUCCAAGAGGAAAGCAAAGCACAGUUUUAAUCCUUUACAUUUUUUUGCAAUGUCUUUAAACUGCCUAUAUGUUGGGGAUACACAGGGAAGCAUGUAAUCUAGUGGCACUCUCAGGUUUUAACUUGUAGUUCAGGAAGAUCUAUUUAUAAUUAAUGUGGCUAAGUGUGAUAGUCUUUGGCUUAAAGGCCGGAGGCAGCAACAGUACAGUGAUUCAAUGAAUCGAAACGACUAUAUACUCCAAAAGGUGUCGUAAAUUGAGACUAAAGACGCUUACUCAAAAAGGAAAUAGCAGUAUAAAAAGGCACCCUCACCCAUUGAAGUGCUGCCGUCCGUCGGGUUUGUCGAGGCGCUCCUUUGUGAGCCACGACACCGAACGGGAAGCCCGACCGAUCGCUGCCAUCGGCGGGCGGGGUCACAGGGCGCUAAUGAGCGGCGGCCAUUUUCUCAGAAUCCAUCAAUCGCGGGGAGUGACGAACGAGCUCGGGGACUCGGCGGGUCUCGGCGUCGUUAACGGUGUUCCUUUUUUUCCCCGAUGGCCUCGUCGUCACUGAAGAGGCUUUCAGGCGCCUCGUCGUACCGGAGGUUCCCAGAAACGAUCCGAUCGAAGAGCGACUGUUUAUUUUGAAGCAUGGGAUUACGCUGUGUUUUUAAUGGACUCAUUGAGUCAGGGCGACUCAGUGUUCCACAAGGUCCUUCAUCCCGGCGGCGGUCAACCUUUUUAAUGAACACCCUUAAAUACGGUCCUCAGAUUCUGAUGUUAUCCCUGUACUUUAUGGCCUUUUAUGUUUAUUUAUUCGUUGUAAUGUCUUGUCAUGCCUUGUUGUGUGUAAGGUCUAUUGUGUGCAUGAACUGUUUUUGGUGGCAAACUGUUUCCCCCCUUUAGGAGUUAAUGAAGCUGAAGGUGAAACGCCCUCAAAGUGGGCUUUUUAUUUUAUUUUUUUGUUCAAAUGUUGUUUGCAUAUCAAUGCUCACUGAGCUCUCUCGCCCUCACAAUAAACAGAACUGUGCGCACUCAUGAUGUGACAGUUGGCUAAUGGCACACUGUACACCCAUCACGGACCGAAGCUUCAACGUGAAAAGCCAUUUGCUUCCGCAAAUGAUAACACUCUCGUCCAAUGGCUCUCAUUGCGCAAACGUCAGAAGCAUAAUUGAAAAGCACUACCUCGUCAAGGACAAAUCAACAGUGUGAUGUUUGAAGCUGCCUGCACUUGAUUGCUGGGGUAUAAUGUUGUCAGGCUGCUAAUCCACAUUUCGUGUUGAUGCCUCUCCUGAGAACGGUCAGAUCCACGGCGAUAUUAUUGCACCCCCCCCCCCCCCCCCUUUGAAUCAACAACAUCAGCAGCGUCGAAUGUGGGCGGCAUCCUCCAGACAUCCUGGUCCUCUAUCUGCAUAUGAAAGACGUCUCAACCUCCCACUUCAGAAGAUUUAAAUCUGCAGGCUGUAAACAUUCCUAUUCUACAUUUACACUUCGGAUCACAGGUCAGGGUUUUGGGUCCUUCGUUGCACUCGUGGUAUCGGAUCUUCGACUAUACUCUCUGCCCUUUUGUAUGAGCCUAUUAAGUCCUAUUAAGAUAACAAUUUAUCACAAGCACCUGCCUGGUGGAUAUUACAGCGAGCCGGUCUUCUGAUGGAGAGUUUAGGCCUCUGUUCUAACUCACAUUUCAAACUGGUUGCAACUUUGGGUGCUUAAAAGCGGCGAACAUUCAGUCCUUCCUAAAAUAACCCUUACUUUGCAUGUGUGCGAAUCUUAUAUAAUUACAGAACUCCAACUGUAAAUGUGAUUUUAACAAGUUGUGUUUCUCACCUCGUCUUAAUGCUGAAAUUAAUGGAUACGCGGCUAUUUCUGGCAUGGCGUUAGCGGAGACGCACAGGACACGUGUCAGCCUCCGCGGCCAAUUUGUAUUGGAACCAGAAUGACAGGUUGCCUAUUUAUAAAUGCAUGUAGACGCCGCCUGUGUGUUGAGAUGUGAGAUGAGUCGGCGUCAGUGCUUCCAGACCAUGUGGCUGUGAAGUCACUAUAGAAAGUGAUUUUCACCUGUCAACAUCUGGGGAUUAGUUAACUUAAAGGUGCCAAUAAGUAAUGGCGCCUCCACGUGCACAGAUGUUCUUUUAGAAACAAUUGACAGAGUUGGAUUCUACAAUGUUCUUGUGACACUGAUUCCCUCCCUUGUCUUUUCUCUCCCCAGGGAGGAUGUACGGCGGGACAAUACGACUAUUGUGCUGUCCUCCCCCCUGCUGUUGGAUGCUGACGUCGCCUUGAGCGUAACACCGGUAUCCGGUGAUGCAACGGUGUGGACGGGGAUCCUUUUACGUGUAGAAAGGUCCCGACAGAGCGUUAGAUGUUAAGACACGUUAACAUCAACAAUAUAAUGAAUUAAUAAUAUCAUCAGGCAUUUUAGAAAUGCAAUUCAUCACACCGUUCAUGUUCACACAGAGUCACAGCUGAGAAUUAGAAAGUGAGAAACUCCACAUUGUUUUGGCCCCUCGGCACAACGGACCUGGUAUCGGCCGAAAGGUCGGCGCUCUGCUGAAAAAGCCUCUGGUUCGUUUGGUUCCAAAAACAAACAAAUAACAUGCAGUAGCGUAGCACCUUUUAAAAGAAACUGGUGGUGCUUCCAGCCCUGUAACCACAGAUCGCACCCCUGUGGGUCGACUGAGCAAUAUGUUAAAUGUAGACACAGUCACCUUGUGGCAGACGAUUAACCGAACGAAGCCCUGCGACAUCACCAACCCCCUUUUUAAAAUAUCUACAGACGCGCAUCAAAGUUAACGGUGCAUCGGUCAACCAGCCAAGCUUCGCUUUUCCUUCAAGAGCAAAGGAAAGGUGGAGACUGCUGAUAAGGAGAGUGCAAUGGCUUAGAAAUGACAUGCCUUAUGUUUAAUUCCUUUCUUUUUAGCUUUUAAAAGGCAUUACUGGCACUCGUGGACCCGGGAUGAACCUUUUGGAACGAGAUAAUGAGGCACUGCCACCUGAAUGUUGACAACUGGGAGGAAAGCCACGAGCAGUGCUUUUUUCUUAUUGUUUUAGGUCACCUAUUCCUAUCCAGGUUAAUCCAAUUAAUAUUGAAAAUGUAAGAUUUCUUCAGGGAAGGUGGUCGGCCAAGAUGGCAGCCUAUGAAUAUAUUCAUAAUAAGCACAUGCCAGAAAGGUGACUCGGAAAAAAAAGUUCGAAGGACACAAUCAAAAAAGUUGAAAAUGAAGUUUUUAUUAAAUUGGGUUGAAAUUUCCAAUAAAGCAGCCGAUUUCAGGCAUUUCUAUCGGAUAAAACUGUUCCGCAAACAAGGCCCCGUAUUUCAUGCGGGGAGGCGAUAGUUUGAUAUAUUUUUAGGUUGCCCCGCUGAGCCCACGAUACACGAAGGUCAGGGGAUUGUUUCUCAGAUUUAGGAUUAGUGUGUCGGGUCACCGUGAGGUCCGAUGGAUUAAAAUGUUGUUGCGUUUCUCAAAAUAGCUGUAGUUACAUAUACGUUAUGUGUCUUUGGACAUGGAUCUUUAAAAUACGGCGUACACAACAAAAUAGGAUGACGCACACCAGGCGUUGGAUUAAAGUGUAUACUUACCUGUCAUGCACCAAACUGCACUGUUUGGGCAUUAACAGACGAAAAGGGAGAGAAAACAAAGAGUCUAAUCAGAAUUUUCCCACGUCGUGAUUGAUGUUAACAGCCUGUCAACAGACUCCAGUAAAAUCUCUUGUUUUCUUUUCUUUAACGAGUACAGAACAAGGGAAAAGGCUGCACUCAUAAAAAAAAAAGGUUGAUUAUGACCAAAAGGCUGAUUAAUCAGCUAAUUGAGGAAAAAGAGAGCAGAGCAGUACCGUUUACAAGGAACAUGAAGAACCUUGUUAUUGAACAUGAAUAUACGUGUUAUAUGUUCACCCUCGUAAGGAUUGGGGCAUGGUCCAGCUUGCCAGCUAAAGGGCAGGUAUUUAAUCAAUGCUUAUACAAUUUCGCCGGUGAAUUUCUUGCUGCCUCAUCUGCCGUACUUUAUCAUUUAGAAAAUAAACAGAAAUAUCACCCCAAAACAAAGACCUCAGCAUCCUCCCUAUUACAAGGGAAAUGAGUUCAUUGUGCCUGUCUCCGGCUCUUGGCUGCCUUGGGCAGCGGCCUCGUGUUCUGAUCCUAUCAUCAGCUAUUCCGCAUUCUCAAGCUCCCAGGAGCUCUGGACGUCCCCUGCAGGGGCCCGACUUACCCCGUAGCCCUCAUCAGCCCCGGGGUGUGAAGCCUCGCUCAGCUCCCCUCCAGCCCUCUCACUUCCAGCACGAGGCCCGAGGACAUUUCUGAGAGGUCAGGAACCCGAGAAGAGAACCCUCUCAGGCUUCGCGCUGUGACGGAAUUCCGAUCACUCGUUAUCUCCCCUUCUCGCUCUGUUUACGUCUGCUCACCGCAUCCUUCAUCCUGCAGAACGCCCUUGAUCAAGGUUUUUUUGGGGCGGGGGGGCGGGGUUGUGCUCGCUGUUUCUACCCGAAAGGUUCAUGCUUCACUUUAGCACACGGACGCGCCGCAUCACGCUGUGCGUGUUUGCGUGUGAAAGGAUGAAUUGAGGGUACGCUUGGCUUCUUGGAAAGGGCGCCAUGCGACUACAGAGCAUCGCCACGAGCAACCAAGAAGCUCUGAGUCAGACUGUGUGCGAUUUGCGCUCAGAGUCGUUAGUCAAUACCGGAUGGUUGGCAGACAUUUAGGGGCGUAUAUUCCGGUGUGACCGUGCACGGGGCAGGACUUUGACAUUAUGCGCCUGGUGCGCUGAUUUCUUCCACUCUGAGAUCAUUUUCACGUUGAAGUUAGUCUCACACUUUCAUGAAAACGCGUCUCUUAUCUUGAAAGGCAUUUAACGAUCCCGCGUCCAUAUUUUUAGCAGCGCUUUUAAAUCUCACAUCCUGUUUUGUCUGAGAUUCCGGCGAGGUCGACGGGUAGAUUUGCAUAGCCUGACAUAUGGGUGUGAAUAUUAAUGGACUGUAAAAAAGUGCUCUGAAUAGAUUUAAAUCUUUUUUAGAGAAUUGUGCUGUCUCAGGUUUUUGACGCUCCUGAACCACUCAUGCGUUCUCAGUCAAGAAACUCCAAAAGGCUCCUUGACAGUUUGGCAGGAUGAUGCUCCACUUUACCGGAGAAGACAAAGACUUCAAAGCGUUAGUAAGAAAAUCAUGAAAUAAUGAUGUUUUCUGAGGAAUUACUUGCUUAAAAGCACCAUUUGAAUUUAGGAGAAACCAACAGAAACUGCACUUCAAAUCUGGAUCUUGAUGUGUGUAUUAAUAUGUGUGCAGGUUAAAAUAAAGUUAACACAUCACUUGUAUCUUCAGUUCCUAACAUUAGUUAUUAAGUGUUUUGUUGUCUCAAAGAGAUGUGGUAGUAACCACGCGGUGUACAGAGGUGCUUCUCAGCGCCUCCCAACUGCUCUCUGUGACCCUAAGCAUGUUUAUGAGGUCACGUGUUCGCGCGCUGAAUCAGCGCCAGUAAUGACAUCAAGCUUCGGGUCGUCUUGUGUGCGUCUCAAAGUACACUGGAGGACAGAUCUUCUUUUCGGAUUAAACACUUGCUUCUUUCCAAGAAACUUUUACUCAAAAAGGGCACAAAUCUUACAAACACAACCAGGGAGAAUGUGCACCACCUUCUUCCAGGCCGACAAAGCCUCGGCGGGGCUUUGGGGCGAUGAAAUGUUAAUGAGCAUGCGAUAUAAGAUACGGUAUUAAAUACGGUGCGUAGAAAGAGUCACGAAGAAGACAGCGAUUUGUUAAUGGAAGGGCGGGAACAGAGACGGGAUGGGAGGAGGAGGAGGAGGAGGUGGACGAGGAGGAGGAGGUGGUGGGCAGAAAGGUCCUGAGGCCUCCGGCCGCCAAGCCCCGGGGCAUCGUCCUGGAGAAACACAAGACUAAUGGGGGGGCGGGGGGAUGUAGAGUGAAAUUGAAUGUUGCCUCUUUGUACAUGACUCCGUUUACGAGGUGGGGUGUUUGAGAUGAGAGAUGAUAAAAAAAAUAAAAAAAAGGAAAAUCCCCCAGCAGGCAUUGAGCGGUGAUUUUUCUCAUCCAUCACCAUGAGAGAUCAUUUCAUUCCUCUUUGUUGCUCGGAGGAGGAAAUAAGAGCAUGCAAUCAUCUAGGAGUCCUUCCUAUCGCCUGUACAAAACAUUUUCAGGGGUGUUGAACGCAUCGUUCAAAAUGCCUUACCAUUAAUGUAAAUCAGGGAUUGAGGGCGAACGAUCAGCGGUUUAAACGAUGCUACAAACUUGUUCAGGUCAAUCCUGCAAACUUCAAUCCUGUUCAUUUGUUUCUUUCAUGGAAGUUAACUUUAAAUGCAGCAUGUCAUUUUAAUUCUGCCUACCUCGUCCAGAUACUGCCAUCCAGGUUUUUUAAUUUGUUGCUUUCAUUUUAUGUUCACUAAACAGUCACCCUGUUCUGGGCUUUUUAUGUUUUUAACCUGCGGUUAAAUUACAGUCCUUUUUUAUUUAACACGGCUCUUCUGAUUUGUUUUGGUGAAAACCGUCUCCGCAAGUUUGAGAAAAAAUUAAAUAAAAAAAUUACGUAUAAUAUCUAUCAAUCAAAUCAUCUUCAUCCAUCACAUUACAAGUUAGUCUUUAGUUUUCCUUUCAAGAAAGUACUUUAAAUUGAAAGGGUUGGUGAGUAACCAGUGUUGGGAAAGUUACUGAAAAUUAGUAUUUAGUAACAGUUACUUAUUUUAAAGGUAAUUGAAUUACUUACCAGUUACUGCGUAUCAAAAGUAAUUAGUUACUCUGGAAAGUAACUUUUAUGUCUGCGUUUUAAAUGUAAUGAAUAUAAAUACUACUGAACAGUCAAACACAAUAAACAUAUUUUUUAGACCUAUUUAUUAAUACAAAAUAACUGUUUCAGGCAUUUGCCUGAAGGCAACUGACUCGACGGUUGACAGGAUGCUUCUCAUCUUCAACACAGCGAGCGAUCAAUCUAUUCAGCUCUGCCCGGUUUAUCGGCUGCACUGCAGUCCGUGUAAAGUGGAGCCCUGGUUGUUUGCGUGGAGCGGCGCCUGCAGCAUCCUGCGCUCUCUCGUCAUGAGCGACGCGAUGCUGUUUACGUGCACGUACGGCGACUAUUCUGUGACACACAACGUUUGGUGGCCACAACUAUUUUGUGCUGACAGGCAGCUGUUUACUUACUAUUUGCCGUCCCUCCGCUUCGCGUCACAAAAGAGAGUAACGCGAAUUCAUUUCAACUUCAGUAAUUGUAACUGUGUUAUUUAAAAGAAUACUUCGUUACAUGCUCGUUAACUAAAAGUAGUGGAAUUACAGUAAUGCGUUACUUUGUAACACGUUACUCCCAACACUGUGAGUAACACACGUCUUUAAGGCUUUUUCUGCUUUCCACGACCAAGAAUUUGGUUCCGACCACCUGAAGAGAAUGCAUUUAAGUUGAUUUCAUCUAAUUUGGGAAAUGAAUCUGCUCCUUGUUUGACUGUGACUCAACAAAACCUUUCUCUUCCUUUUGGGGGGCGAUAGAAGCUUUGUGAUUUCAUCAAGGAGUCUGUGAUUGGUAAGAGCCAUUAGUAUUGUUAAAUAUGAAUCACUCUACAGUUUGAAAAUGUACAUUUUAUUUUAUUACAGCGGCCGUUGAUUAUUUCAUCAAUGACACCUGAUUAUUCUGUCAAUUACGUCCCAAAGUUUGACGUUAGUUCCCCACAGAGCACUAUUUAUAUUAUCCUUUGAGUGAGUGUGAGGAGAAAAAAGCACUUGUGUGGCAUCUUGGCACAUUGUGUCCGUUUGUAACGACCCGGUCUCUGAAUACUUCCCCGCGGCCUCCGACAGUCGCCAUUCGCCCGCUGCACUUUAACAUCGCCAUGGUUACAAGGAUUCACAGAUCUGCCCAGGAGAAACAAAGUCGAAGUUCUUUACAGACCAAGUUCUAAUGUCACUCGGCUCGGAUCUACAGUCACUGUUGCAGUAAUUAUUCUUCUCAGCAUGAUCAUAGUCGGCUUGCGCGAUGACAGCAUAAUUAACGGCACCUACUUACAGCAGAUGUUGCAUCACUCAACACAAAAUAGGCAACGAAUAAAGAACAGUAAACGACAAUGAAUUGUUUGGCAUGUGACACGGACACUGUGUGCAGAGCCGAUCGGAGAGGAGAGUCCGGACAUCCGUUAAUUAUCAACUGUGGCCAAACGUCUGUUCCUGCCAAAAACAAAUGUGCUGCUUUCCAGCAGACACUGUGGACCGGUUUGUGAAAAGCGUGGAAUACCUCCGCGUGUUUGCAUUUAUAUCACAAGCAGACCAAAGUCAAUUUUCACAAUGUCAUCUGGGGCUCACCCUCAACACGCCGGCACACGAUUAUUCCGCUCCAGAGUUGCUGAUGCUAACAACUCAUUCAUCCGUUCACGUGUCACAUGACUUUCUCCCACCGUUCACUUUCUUGCUUCUAUUCGGUCACCGCUCGUCUGUUCUUGCUCUCCUCGACUCCAUCGCCACUUAAUUGCCUGAUUGAAGAAGUACUCCGAGCUGAGUUGCUGGAGUGAAAAUGUGCGAUGUUGUUGAUUCGAGUCAACUGCGGCAAUUUAGGUUGUAACGAUGGAGGCUGCUCAUGAGAAGCUCGUCCUCCGUCACCUUCAUCUCUUUGGUUCGGCCACUGCAUCCGUGUCAACAAUUUAGGUGGAGAGGUCAGCGUCUGCUCCACCCUGCUAGAUGGAACGGAGGCCCGGCAGGGGGAACCAGAACGGGGCAGAACAUCAAAAUGGAAAUCUCCCUGUUGAGACUUUAGAGGGAGUUUGUUGCCUUUAAAGUAUGAAACCUGAAACCUGAACACGUAUGACCUCUUUAAUUGGUACAGCGUAUGUUUUUUGCUCAAUCUGUCGCCUGUGUUACUAAGCGAUGUCAGCGCCACUCCCCAUGCAAACAGCUCCACAGCGCACGGAUCGCUCUCAACGGGAAGGAGCGUCGUUCAUCUACAGCAAAGAAUUCACCCCUCCGCCUCCGAGUCGCCUCCUGUAAUCCAUGCAGCCAGCCCAACUUGAAACACACACACACACAACGUGUAGCAUAAUCAAAUCCCAGCAGCCACCAGUCAGUAUGCAAACCAGAGAAAUAAAAACCUUCGCCUUCUGUCUGUGUUUUCACCAGCUGCCUCUUUUUAAAAAUACCGCCCCCAACCUUGAAGAUAUUGCCCGUCCCUGCUUCUCAAUAUAACGUACGACUUAUUGACUCGCUCUCAGGUUGCAGGACCGCAAGGAAAUCUAUAUAUUAGAAAGAAAAAACAGACGCGCGGGGGGUUCGGUGGGGGGGGGUAAGGGGGGGCGCCUUUACCCCGGAAAUAAGCUUCCUGUCCUUGUCUAUGAUUCAGACCUGACAGUUUUCAAAUGCACACCGAAGAGCUGAAUUGCAGCACAGCUUGCGAUCCUCCGCCCGCGGCCUGUGUUCACCUUCCCCUCUGCAGACUGAGCCCGUGCGUGUUCGGCCCACUGGAUGUGAUUAGGGGGAUGUGUGUGUGUGUGUGUGUGUGUGUUUGGGGGGGGGGGGCACACAAGGCCGGUGUUAGCUUGCGUGAUCACGAUUGCACCCCCUCUCUCUCUCUCUCUCUCUCUCUCUCUCUCUCUCUCAUGCAAAUCAGCUGCGAUUGGAUUCACAUCGACAUUUUCGCCGCGUAUCAAACUUCACCUCAUCAAAUGUACUUAACAUGACUUCCCGCUACUUUCAGCCGCGGCACGGUUUUCCUCUUCGACCUCACCUGGACAUUUUGCAGGUUUUGGGUCGUUGAAAUCCGCCCCUGGCUAAACCCAAAUGGUCAGUGGGGUGAGAAUGAAAAGCUGCUCACGCGCGUUCACGGUGAGAAUGUUCGCACGCCGAGUUAGAUCAAAGCUCGGCCGCGGCAUUAAACAUUCAGGUCUUUCUGCAAUGUCUACCGAGGGCAACGACAGUAUAAUUAAGGUGGGACAGAGAUCAGUGUUACGGCAGAUCAACUGUGAUCCGGAGAGGCCGAUGAAUCAUAGUAAUGGUUUUAAAGUACAGCUGCUGGUCGCUUACACAAACUGUGAACCUGAAAGACAAUAAAGACAAACCCCCACCCCCCUUCCAUGGGGGACAAACUAUUUCCAGCUUUACGGUGGUAGAUGAUGCUAUUUUCGGAAAUAACUGUUGUACAUUUAGACGAUUAAAUAGUCAACACCAAUGUUUGAGGUGUUAUAACAACAGGUUGUUUUCAGAGGAAAAGGAGGCCGUAUUUUAAUUUGGUGCUAAUUGGUUCUGAUCAAAUCACUGCCUGGUAACAUUACUGUACCAUCAUAAGAAGUGCUUCUGGGAUUUAUAUUUGUAUUUCUGCGUUUCCUCUAUGACUGGUACUGGCCAACUCUUGUUACAAAAGGAACUAAAGCAGAGGUCGAUUAUCUAUCGAUUUCUCUAUUUUAACUUGUAUAUCUUCGUUCUUCCUACGUGCAGUUGAGGAGCAGUGCGUCUCACGUCUUCAGAAACCACAGCGAUUAUUCAAAGCGGCAAUGUAGAGCAAAGAGGCAAACCACAAGAUUUGCUUUUAAGAAAACAUACCCACUUAAAUGCAAAACGAAGGCACAGACCAUAAACCCGAGAGCCAAAUAGGAUCAGAAACACAUGGAUUCAUUGCCAGACAAUUAUUUUAACAGAUAGAAGGGAGCUGAAACAAAUGGUUUCAACAUCUUUUUAGAAGAAGCUUUCUGCUUUGUAUUUGUUUCUUAAAUACUUAUUUUACUUAAAAUGAGCAAAGAACAUAUAUUUAUUAUUAGAAUAUGUGUUAUUUAGAUUUGAAAACUGGCAAUAAACGCUGUUGAGAUAUCAAACUUUCUUUAUUUUAUUUUUUCCGCAUACAGAUGUUAUUACAACCGCUGGCUACUUCAAUGGCACAAACUCUUCUCGAAAAGACAUUACUGUGACACUCCGGAUGUUUACAUGAGGGAAUUCUCUCCCAAUGGGUCUCGUCUAACUUGAAUUGAUGCUCCCUGAAGGAAAGCAUCUGAUCUUAAAUCACCAACCAGCCAAACUGGAAAGUGACUUAUCCCCUCCGAGACAUGGAGCUGAACGAAUGAAAGGGGACUCCAAUAAGCUUUGUGCCUCCUUAGCCUCGCCAUCAUGCGCCUCCUAGAAUAGUCAUGAGAUAGAUUUCCAUAUUUUACACCGGUGUCUUUCCCAUUCAGCCUCUCCUCGGCUGCUCCGGAGCGACCGUCUGUGUCCUCCUGUAAUCCCGAACCGGGGGGGAGGGGGAGGCUCCCUGAGGACGACCGCCGCGAGGGCCUCCGCCGCCGCCAUAAGCUUGCAGUCCGCCGGGGGGGGGGCCACGAAUCCGGAGCCCUCCGUAACACAUGAACGCAUGGAUGUUUGUCUUGGCUCAUGGUGAUUGGGAGGACAACAUUUAGGAUAUCUUAUUCACUUGGUUCCUUUGUAAUCGUAACGUAAUAAGAUUUUUAGGUCACACGCAAAAUCUUUUGAAUGAAUUAUGAAUAAUAAAUCAAGCUCAUCCUUGGAGACGGGGGAGAGGAGCCGAGGCAUCCACAGGCUGCUGGAAGUUAAGCGCCGAUGGAGCAAGUCGCGGUCGCUCUGGCAUCUUUUAUUCAGCGCUUAAUUUGAGGCGGAGGUGUUUCCAUCCAGCCCUCAGUGGUGUCUCAAAAGUCAACCCCUGCAUAUGAAACGUUCAUCUGGGAAUAUUAGUUUUGGAUGAUGGUAUUUUCUUGUAUUUUACUGGUAUACAAGCUCCACUAAUCAUUAUGUUUUCUGUCUGUCAAACGGCCAAGUGAAAACACAAUGACACCCAGCCAUUUCUCACACAUCUAGCGCAUGCAUUUUAUUUUUAACAUUUGAUCAUGUGUGAUCACCAAUUGAAACUCGUAACAGCAGGACGGGAGAGGAGGUGAGUCUUGGCCUCUUUUUCAGAAGCGGAUCAUUUGAAUCCUGCGUGACGAAGCCUGGAAAAGAAUCGGUCAGCAAAAGGAUUCGCAGUAAAAAAAAACUGCAAAAAACAACGGCGACCUCAUCCAGCACAUCUUCAGAGACUUACUCACACAUUCCUCUUGUUCUCACGUGAGUGAUAAUUAAAUGUUGAUAUCAUUUCAUUUUGAAAUUGCAGAGUAGUUUCCUCAACCCUCCGGGGUCUCCCCAUAGUUCGCCCUGACGGCACCAGUGAAUGAGACGGCCUUAAUCCUCUGAACCUUCAUCUGAAUCAUUUAGAGAAUUUGCAGACGUGAAUAACUGGAUGGAGACUCCCGGGGUGGACCCUCAACACAC